Molecule: long non-coding RNA, 226 nt
Filed under: Lathyrus oleraceus (garden pea)
Lineage: Eukaryota; Viridiplantae; Streptophyta; Magnoliopsida; Fabales; Fabaceae
Description: Pisum sativum (pea) long non-coding RNA (PSAT_LNC013179)
Source: RNAcentral
GAAUUCAUCUGUUACAUGGGCAAAUAUGAGGAAGAUCAUGGAGUUGUUAAGCUUGGAUAUGGCUAUCUUUAUUUGAUGCCUUGUUCUUCAAGUUAAUAUUGUGCAUUGUUUGUUGCUUGAUUCUAAUGUCUAAGGGAAUUUGGGUUUCUAUAUGACAUUCUUGUCUAUUGGAUUGCAGCCCAUUGGUCAGAUCUUUUCAACUCUUAACUUUUAAAUUUAUGCUUAG